GCAAGUCGAACGGGUGAAGACCAGCUUGCUGGUUGGAUCAGUGGCGAACGGGUGANUAACACGUGAGCAACCUGCCCUUCACUCUGGGAUAAGCCUUGGAAACGGGGUCUAAUACCGGAUAUGACAUCCUCAUGCAUGUGGGGGUGUGGAAAGAUUUAUCGGUGGGGGAUGGGCUCGCGGCCUAUCAGCUUGUUGGUGGGGUAAUGGCCUACCAAGGCGACGACGGGUAGCCGGCCUGAGAGGGCGACCGGCCACACUGGGACUGAGACACGGCCCAGACUCCUACGGGAGGCAGCAGUGGGGAAUAUUGCACAAUGGGCGCAAGCCUGAUGCAGCGACGCCGCGUGAGGGAUGACGGCCUUCGGGUUGUAAACCUCUUUCAGCAGGGAAGAAGCGAAAGUGACGGUACCUGCAGAAGAAGCGCCGGCUAACUACGUGCCAGCAGCCGCGGUGAUACGUAGGGCGCAAGCGUUGUCCGGAAUUAUUGGGCGUAAAGAGCUCGUAGGCGGUCAGUCGCGUCUGCUGUGAAAACUCGAGGCUCAACCUCGGGCUUGCAGUGGGUACGGGCUGACUAGAGUGCGGUAGGGGUGACUGGAAUUCCUGGUGUAGCGGUGGAAUGCGCANAUAUCAGGAGGAACACCGAUGGCGAAGGCAGGUCACUGGGCCGCAACUGACGCUGAGGAGCGAAAGCAUGGGGAGCGAACAGGAUUAGAUACCCUGGUAGUCCAUGCCGUAAACGUUGGGCACUAGGUGUGGGGUCCAUUCCACGGAUUCCGUGCCGCAGCUAACGCAUUAAGUGCCCCGCCUGGGGAGUACGGCCGCAAGGCUAAAACUCAAAGAAAUUGACGGGGGCCCGCACAAGCGGCGGA
RNAcentral lists this ribosomal RNA (869 nucleotides) under Cellulomonas sp. VC-CS392. RNAcentral describes it as "bacterial SSU rRNA". It matches the Rfam family "Bacterial small subunit ribosomal RNA", at positions 57 to 936 of the family's 1533-position model. Lineage: Bacteria; Bacillati; Actinomycetota; Actinomycetes; Micrococcales; Cellulomonadaceae. The record is from RNAcentral.